GAUGAACGCUGGCGGCGUGCCUAAUACAUGCAAGUCGAGCGAACGGACGAGAAGCUUGCUUCUCUGAUGUUAGCGGCGGACGGGUGAGUAACACGUGGAUAACCUACCUAUAAGACUGGGAUAACUUCGGGAAACCGGAGCUAAUACCGGAUAAUAUUUUGAACCGCAUGGUUCAAAAGUAAAAGACGGUCUUGCUGUCACUUAUAGAUGGAUCCGCGCUGCAUUAGCUAGUUGGUAAGGUAACGGCUUACCAAGGCAACGAUGCAUAGCCGACCUGAGAGGGUGAUCGGCCACACUGGAACUGAGACACGGUCCAGACUCCUACGGGAGGCAGCAGUAGGGAAUCUUCCGCAAUGGGCGAAAGCCUGACGGAGCAACGCCGCGUGAGUGAUGAAGGUCUUCGGAUCGUAAAACUCUGUUAUUAGGGAAGAAUAUAUGUGUAAGUAACUGUGCACAUCUUGACGGUACCUAAUCAGAAAGCCACGGCUAACUACGUGCCAGCAGCCGCGGUAAUACGUAGGUGGCAAGCGUUAUCCGGAAUUAUUGGGCGUAAAGCGCGCGUAGGCGGUUUUUUAAGUCUGAUGUGAAAGCCCACGGCUCAACCGUGGAGGGUCAUUGGAAACUGGAAAACUUGAGUGCAGAAGAGGAAAGUGGAAUUCCAUGUGUAGCGGUGAAAUGCGCAGAGAUAUGGAGGAACACCAGUGGCGAAGGCGACUUUCUGGUCUGCAACUGACGCUGAUGUGCGAAAGCGUGGGGAUCAAACAGGAUUAGAUACCCUGGUAGUCCACGCCGUAAACGAUGAGUGCUAAGUGUUAGGGGGUUUCCGCCCCUUAGUGCUGCAGCUAACGCAUUAAGCACUCCGCCUGGGGAGUACGACCGCAAGGUUGAAACUCAAAGGAAUUGACGGGGACCCGCACAAGCGGUGGAGCAUGUGGUUUAAUUCGAAGCAACGCGAAGAACCUUACCAAAUCUUGACAUCCUUUGACAACUCUAGAGAUAGAGCCUUCCCCUUCGGGGGACAAAGUGACAGGUGGUGCAUGGUUGUCGUCAGCUCGUGUCGUGAGAUGUUGGGUUAAGUCCCGCAACGAGCGCAACCCUUAAGCUUAGUUGCCAUCAUUAAGUUGGGCACUCUAAGUUGACUGCCGGUGACAAACCGGAGGAAGGUGGGGAUGACGUCAAAUCAUCAUGCCCCUUAUGAUUUGGGCUACACACGUGCUACAAUGGACAAUACAAAGGGCAGCGAAACCGCGAGGUCAAGCAAAUCCCAUAAAGUUGUUCUCAGUUCGGAUUGUAGUCUGCAACUCGACUACAUGAAGCUGGAAUCGCUAGUAAUCGUAGAUCAGCAUGCUACGGUGAAUACGUUCCCGGGUCU
RNAcentral lists this ribosomal RNA (1372 nucleotides) under uncultured bacterium. RNAcentral describes it as "bacterial SSU rRNA". It matches the Rfam family "Bacterial small subunit ribosomal RNA", at positions 28 to 1381 of the family's 1533-position model. The record is from RNAcentral.